AUUGAACGCUGGCGGCAGGCCUAACACAUGCAAGUCGAGCGGAUGAAGGGAGCUUGCUCCUGGAUUCAGCGGCGGACGGGUGAGUAAUGCCUAGGAAUCUGCCUGGUAGGGGGGUAUAACGUCCGGAAACGGGCGCUAAUACCGCAUACGUCCUGAGGGAGAAAGUGGGGGAUCUUCGGACCUCACGCUAUCAGAUGAGCCUAGGUCGGAUUAGCUAGUUGGUGGGGUAAGGGCCUACCAAGGCGACGAUCCGUGACUGGUCUGAGAGGAUGAUCAGUCACACUGGAACUGGGACACGGUCCAGACUCCUACGGGAGGCAGCAGUGGGGAAUAUUGGACAAUGGGCGAAAGCCUGAUCCAGCCAUGCCGCGUGUGUGAAGAAGGUCUUCGGAUUGUAAAGCACUUUAAGUUGGGAGGAAGGGCAGUAAGUUAAUACCUUGCUGUUUUGACGUUACCAACAGAAUAAGCACCGGCUAACUUCGUG
Molecule: ribosomal RNA, 484 nt
Filed under: uncultured bacterium
Lineage: Bacteria
Description: partial 16S ribosomal RNA
Rfam family: Bacterial small subunit ribosomal RNA
Source: RNAcentral